Molecule: long non-coding RNA, 802 nt
Organism: Eriocheir sinensis (Chinese mitten crab)
Lineage: Eukaryota; Metazoa; Arthropoda; Malacostraca; Decapoda; Varunidae
Exons: 3
Source: RefSeq, a predicted model, not a curated record
GGACAGCGAAAGGGAAUGGGCGAGGAAGGAAGGAAGGAAGGGACAGCUUGUGAUAUGGGCGUAAGGGAAUGGCCGAGGAAGGAAGGAAGGAAGGGACAGCUUGUGAUAUGGGCGUAAGGGAAUGGCCGAGGAAGGAAGGAAGGAAGGGACAGCUUGUGAUAUGGGCGUAAGGGAAUGGCCGAGGAAGGAAGGAAGGAAGGGACAGCUUGUGAUAUGGGCGUAAGGGAAUGGCCGAGGAAGGAAGGAAGGAAGGGACAGCUUGUGAUAUGGGCGUAAGGGAAUGGCCGAGGAAGGAAGGAAGGAAGGGACAGCUUGUGAUAUGGGCGUAAGGGAAUGGCCGAGGAAGGAAGGAAGGAAGGGACAGCUUGUGAUAUGGGCGUAAGGGAAUGGCCGAGGAAGGAAGGAAGGAAGGGACAGCUUGUGAUAUGGGCGUAAGGGAAUGGCCGAGGAAGGAAGGAAGGAAGGGACAGCUUGUGAUAUGGGCGUAAGGGAAUGGCCGAGGAAGGAAGGAAGGAAGGGACAGCUUGUGAUAUGGGUGUAAGGGAAUGACCGAGGAAGGAAGGAAGGAAGGGACAGCUUGUGAUAUGGGCGUAAGGGAAUGGCCGAGGAAGGAAGGAAGGAAGGGACAGCUUGUGAUAUGGGCGUAAGGGAAUGGCCGAGGAAGGAAGGAAGGAAGGGACAGCUUGUGAUAUGGGCGUAAGGGAAUGGCCGAGGAAGGAAGGAAGGAAGGGACAGCUUGUGAUAUGGGCGUAAGGGAAUGGCCGAGGAAGGAAGGAAGGAAGGGACAGCUUGUGAUAUGGGC